Lolium rigidum is the source of this 2774-nucleotide RNA transcript. RefSeq lists it as uncharacterized. The record is from RefSeq and is a predicted model, not a curated record. NCBI's taxonomy places the organism in Eukaryota, Viridiplantae, Streptophyta, Magnoliopsida, Poales, Poaceae. The transcript has 5 exons.
GUGUGUCUUUAUCUAUGGCAAAUCACAAACAACCGAAUUGUAUAAAUAGAGUCCUAUCUAAUUAACUUAUUCUUCACGUCACUCAAGGCCACUAUUAUUUAUUUUGGCCGCAAUAAGGCUUUCAUAAUUUCCCCUCUAUUAUUUAUUUGCACUGUCUAAUUUUUUCUCUACAAAGAGUUUAAUUGUUGGUUCUUAUGUACGGAAGUUGAUUUGAAUUUGGUAUAAUGGUUUUGCCAGAUGUAUUCUUCAUACUAAAAAUAUUUCUUUCAAUUUGUAUUGUUGACAUUCGCCCACAUAUUGCUUUUCAUUUUAGGUUGUCAGUGCUAUACGCUCCACCGUUACAGUUUACAUUACAGGAGUGAAGUAUUUAAUUGGUUUGCAUUUUCCCUCAGAUAUUCUUUUACUCUCAGCCUUUCCUAUAUUGCUCCUAAACAUUCUGUUCUUACUGUACUAUAUGGCUACUCUAAUUGUAAGAGAUGCAUCCUUACUGAAUUAUUUUAUGUUUGUUCUCAUAAUAGAUUUAUGUAGCUUCUUAUGCAUAGGAAAAACAGAGAAUCCAUUUCUUCAAAUAUGAGGUUGUUGUCUAGGCCCGGGCCUUGGUUUUCUGGAUUAUGAAAAGGAAUAUACUCAGUUCAGCUAUUACCAAGCCAUAGGUGUGAAUGCUUUGUUAUGAAAUGAAAAGUGCACGCCUUUUGUCGUGAGCUGAAAUCCUAUAUGGGUUGUGAUUUUUUGUUCUGUACAUUGGAGAAAGCAAUGGUGUAUGUUUGAGAUAAAACAUUGGGGAUGAAAGGGAUUAGUUCUACUAGGGACAUAAUUAUUGAAACAUAUCUGCAUGUAUUCUAUUUUUGUGGGUCUGACUAAUAUUAGGAUCUUACUUUUCAUUCCAUUUCUAUAGAAUCUCAGGUUGAUAUUGGGAUCAUUAGAAAACAGAUGGAGCAAGAGGAUCAGCGAGUUGCCAAGUAUUCCAUCGAGUCGAAGAGAUCCUUGCUAGGAUUCCAUGCAUUACCAAGUAGUACUAAGCCUGACUUCAACUGUUCCUGGUUCAUGCUUGCAAAUUCCCAAGGUUGAAUCGAUGGCCUUGGGUGUUCUGCCGGCUCCACCCAUCGAUGCAGAGGUGCUGACAGCACACCCAGCAUCAAUAGAUCCUGCAGAAGUACCAUCAUCCUCCCACAAUUUGGCAUGUUCAUUCCUUGUAUAUACUUUACACGUUCCUUUGUCUUUUCGUGAGUGUUUGUUGUCUUGGUUGUUACUUUUAUACAAGGAUUUACUUAGGAAGUGACCACAUAUUCCCCAUUCCCACAUUUUAGGCUUUCAGUUACUGUCUAACUAUGUUGAUCCUAAAAUAUGUUCUCAGUGCGUGUGUUAGUGUCAUGUUUAGAUAUGUAGGGGCAGUCAAUUUUGCUGGUAGUUUGGUUUUCAUCGUAGCUUCAUAGCUUUUACUCUUGCAGCUACAUUAGGUACUUAAUUUCAGUGCCUAUUUUGUGAUCCAGAAAAUAAUAUCACACCUACCGAUUAAUGUCUGAUGUAUAUGUGCUCCAGGCCAGGCGCUUCGUCCGACAUUUUCGUUGGCACAACUACUCUGCCCAACUCUCGAGGAUCUUACUGACAUAUUAUCAUGGACCAGAAGUUGUCUCGGUGCAAAGCUGGCCAGAGAUAUGGUUCAUUGAUGGCAGUUUUAUCUGAUGACAUUCUUGUUCUUCGUACCAAAUACUGAUGGAGGUAACACUGAAUAAACACACCAUGUUUUAUAAUAUAAUUUAUGUCCAAUGAUAACAAGAGAUUAUUGGCAAACAAAUAUAUGCUGCAUAGUACCGUCGGUUUGAUUAUGACAUAAAUUGGUAUCUGAAACACAUUCUAGAGAAGUUUGUCUGAUGUCUUUUGCAUGUAACUAAUCCCAGCCAUUUUCCGUGGUUCUUGUCUAGUGGUGCAAUAUAUUAGUAUAUCUCUCCUUCAUUGAUUUUUUUCUACAUACUUAUACUCUUAUGUAAUUUCCAGUGGAGGCACUUUUGAUAUCAGGUGGUCUCGUCCUUUACUUUAGUGAUAUGCUGGCUGGUAAUCUUUAAGAGGUCUUGCGGGGUGGUGUGCUUCAUGUGGUUUCCACUCUGCCUUCGCUUCUUACUUCUUUGAAUGGGAUGGGAAUGGUGCAUUGCAGGAGACUUGGCCUCAAAUCAAAAGGCUACAACUACUCAUUCUAAACGGGGACAUAAAAAUGCAUGCUGUGAAGGCAUGGGUUUCACUGACUGAAGAAAUCAGCAAAUCAAAUAUUGAUGGAGCUUACACAAAUGGAAAUUUUCAUGGUGGAUGGGUUCUCAUCACAAGAGAGACUUUCAUAUCCGGAUGCCUUUUCUGUAGAACUGAGAACGGCUGAGGAAGCAAUUAACCUGGCAUUCGUCCCGGGAAUAAUUCGCGUGGUGGAAACAGAUGUGCUGCUUGUCCAUCAGGCAUUGAACAAUACUCAGAUGGAUUCCUCUUUGUUGGCCCAGGUAAUUGAAGACCAGAACUUUUGGUGCAAGACGUGAUUUUCUGACUGCACUAUUAGCAAUGUGUAGAUGCUCUGCUAACCAGGCAGCUUAUGGCCUGGCAAAUUUGAGCGCUAACUGUAAUUUGAAUGAAACCAUGUAAUGGGAGUAUGAAUUAGCAGCAGCUAUUGCUGGGAUUAUAAUGGGCGAGUUUGCCUAGAUCGUUGAGUAAUAGAGUGAUUGCUUAGGUUCAAAAGAAUAAAAGGUAGAACAGAACCUACUAUGUGAUGAAAUCGAGCUAUACUUAUCACGAUA